UGAAAACUGAGUGAGGUUAAUUUUCUAUUUAGCUUAAGUCACAGUAUUGUGUUUAGAAGUGUUUCUGUAUUCACAACUCACUUUAUUGGGCUCACCUGUUGCCAUAAUUAGUGAGAAUUUCGGCAUGCAGAUGUGGUGAAAACGACUUCCUGAAGAUCAAACCCAGCUCAAGAAUGAGGAAUAAUAGGGCUAAUUGUGACUAUGUUGGAUUGUGUUGAGAAAUUGAUCAUAUAAAUGGGAUUUCCAUGUGCUGCCGUCUUUUAGGUUUACAGAAAAUGGUGUACAAAAGAGAAAAUAUGACUUGGAAAAAUCCCUUGUUGAUAUUAGAGAUCAGAGAGGAUUUUGGAGACUAACAAUAUAGAUAUCAAAGUUUGCUGAAAACCAUCUCUAAAAGCUCAAAACAAGAAGCAGAGGGGCUGCAACAGCAGGAGAUCUCACCGGGUUCCACUCCUAUCAGCUAAGAACAGAAAGAUCAACGUUGAACUUCGUUUGAAGAAGCCAAGACCCCAUCAAACUACAUGGUUCCUGACUGUGAAGCAGAUCCUACUCUACCUGGGAUCUGCAACAUCUUCUAACAGAUGUUAUGGCGAGAUGCAGGUCUUCAUCUGUUGCUUGGCUUGGCUUCAAAAGAGUGACUUUCUCACCGUCCUAAUCUACGACUGUGUGGUGGGAAACGUCCAAAACGGCGCCACAACAUGCCAGCGUCACCUGCUUCAAACUGACAGUGUCACUGUUUGCAGUCAUCUUACUUUCUGGACAAACACACAGGCCAACUCUCAAAACACCAAGAUCUGUGGAAGCCACACGGAACACGCCGUGAGGUAUCACCAUGUCGGCUGCAAGAAGCCACCGUUUGCAGAGAUUCAGCUGUUGAUUUAUGGGGUUUGCUGCUCACCAUGAAAAGCAGCGCCCGAAGGGGGGCAGAGGGUCUUUGUAAGAACUUAUCUGUGUGUAAUUUAUCACACUACCACUCCCCCACCAACUCUUUAUUUCAUGGACUGACCUGUGAGCUGGAUUUCAAACACAGGCCCUGGGCAAAACGGAAACUGGGGUAUAGAUGUGAAAAAUGGAUGGACCCCUGUUGGGUUUUCUUUUUAAAUAUAGGGGACAUGGUUCUCUGCCCAGGGAUUCGUGACCUUUUGGACACUAAAGAAAAAAAAAAGUUAAUACUUGGUCAGUUUAUUUAAAUAAUAAAAAAAUAGUCAAACAUUUAUUUGCAUUGUGCAAGAACUCCAAGAAAAGUAGAUUAGGGCGUGGGAAAGUCUCUCUGGACAAUGGAGAUGGCCCUUUUCUGUUCCAACAUGACUGUGCACUAAUUCACAAAGCAAGAUCCAUAAGAAAAAAGACGGGUGAUUUUAAUGUGGAAGCAGAUGACUGCACAGUCUUGACUUCAACUCAGAAGAAUACUUUUGAGCGAAAUUAAAGACAAGACAGUAAACCAGCUCUUUUUUGUCAAACCUUAGUGUCUUACUGAUGGAUGACUGUUCAAACAUUCCCAUAAAUGCACUCCUCCUAUAUCUGGUGGAAAGAGUUGAAACUGUUAUCUCUGCAAUGGGUGGGCUGACAUGACAGUUCAUGUCUAUGUAAAGGAAAGUGACCCAACACUUUUGGCAAUGUAGUGUAUAUCUAAGCUAUUUUUGUGUCUGUGUGUGUGUAUUUGAGUGUGAGGCAGCAGAAGGAUUCCUGCAAAGACCAGCACCGACACCCAGACUUGGGCUUGUUUUACUCCUUGAUUGCUGAUGAGUACAACUGACCUAUAAGCCACAAAGUGAUGAAGUUGUCUUGGUGGUCUGUGUGUGCUUAUUACUGGGAAUAAAGCAAUAGGCGUCAAGAGGGAGCCGUUCUUCUCAGCCAGCAGAGCUCCAAAUGAGCCCAUCUGAAUCAUCAUUAUGUGCAUAAAUAUCUGUUCAUCAAAACCAAUUUAGCGUGAGAAAUGGAACGGCGGCUCUGAUUCUUGAUUUUGGGUUUUGCUAGUUAAAAAUCAAUUUAGCCAACAUUACGGAUGUGUUUAAUCUUUUAUUAAUAAGUCCAGAUAUUGUCUUGUUUCACUGAAUGGCUUCACAAUUUCCACUGUUCAUUUGCCCCGAGAACCCAAAUGAUCAAACUUCCAUUUAAUCUUGGAAAAUCAUCUGCUAUUGUCUGAUUAAGUUUAUCUGCAGAUACCUGUUUGAAGAGAUUAACUGGCAUUUAACCAUGUUUUAUCUGGCCGCAGACGCUGGAGUAACAAUGAGGCAAUUACGAGGCAGUCUCAAGCGUUAAUGUGAAAUAUUAUGCAGAGAAAGGGAGCAGCUUGUGUAGCAUCAAGCAGCGGAGAUUAGAUAUUGAACAGACUGAGUGUGUCUGCAGUGUGGCCUCAUUCACUCCAUCCACCGUCAUUCUUGAUUCCUCACCUUGUCCCACUAUGAAUAAAACAAGCUUGUUUUGAA
Long non-coding RNA from Poecilia latipinna (sailfin molly), 2426 nucleotides. RefSeq lists it as uncharacterized. The record is from RefSeq and is a predicted model, not a curated record. Lineage: Eukaryota; Metazoa; Chordata; Actinopteri; Cyprinodontiformes; Poeciliidae. The transcript is spliced from 4 exons.